GGGCAGGCUAGGCUGGCGUGCUAGCCCUACGUUCCAGCACAAAUGGGCUUUAUGGUGGGCUGAAGCCCUGAAAAGGCUUUGCUGAAAUGCUUCGGUCUCAACGCCGACGUUGACGCUCUGUCCUGCAGGGUUGGUUUUUUUGAAAACCAUGUCAGGUCCGGAAGGAAGCAGCAUUUAUCAGGGAAAUCGACGCUUGCGGGGAAGCGGAGCCGAGGGAGCGCUGAGGUUAAACCGCAGCCUUUCUGCUUUGUCGAUUUAGGGCGGCUUGCCC
This 271-nucleotide signal recognition particle RNA is filed under the name Candidatus Woesearchaeota archaeon. RNAcentral describes it as "Archaeal signal recognition particle RNA". It matches the Rfam family "Archaeal signal recognition particle RNA". The record is from Rfam by way of RNAcentral. Lineage: Archaea; Nanobdellati; Candidatus Woesearchaeota.